This 278-nucleotide long non-coding RNA is filed under the name Gallus gallus (chicken). The record is from RNAcentral. Lineage: Eukaryota; Metazoa; Chordata; Aves; Galliformes; Phasianidae.
GGGGGAUUCUCGAAGAGAAAACGCGUGAUUUUCACUUAAAUGGGAAAUUUGCAAAGAGGAAACGUUAUUUUCACUUACACGGGGGAUUUGCGAAGAGAAAACGCGUGAUUUUCGCUUAAAUGGGGGAUUUGCGAAGGAAAACGCGUGAUUUUCGCUUAAAUGGGGGAUUCUCGAAGAGAAAACGCGUGAUUUUCGCUUAAAUGGGGGAUUCUCGAAGAGAAAACGCGUGCUUUGUGGCUUAAAUGGGGGAUUCUCGAAGAGAAAACGCCUGAUUUUCG